CACAUGCAAGUCGAACGAAGUUAGGAAGCUUGCUUCUGAUACUUAGUGGCGGACGGGUGAGUAAUGCUUAGGAAUCUGCCUAGUAGUGGGGGAUAACUUGGGGAAACCCAAGCUAAUACCGCAUACGACCUACGGGUGAAAGGGGGCGCAAGCUCUCGCUAUUAGAUGAGCCUAAGUCGGAUUAGCUAGUUGAUGGGGUAAAGGCCUACCAAGGCGACGAUCUGUAGCUGGUCUGAGAGGAUGAUCAGCCACACUGGGACUGAGACACGGCCCAGACUCCUACGGGAGGCAGCAGUGGGGAAUAUUGGACAAUGGGCGAAAGCCUGAUCCAGCCAUGCCGCGUGUGUGAAGAAGGCCUUUUGGUUGUAAAGCACUUUAAGUGGGGAGGAAAAGCUUAUGGUUAAUACCCAUAAGCCCUGACGUUACCCACAGAAUAAGCACCGGCUAAUUCUGUGCCAGCAGCCGCGGUAAUACAGAGGGUGCAAGCGUUAAUCGGAAUUACUGGGCGUAAAGCGCGCGUAGGUGGUUAUUUAAGUCAGAUGUGAAAGCCCCGGGCUUAACCUGGGAACUGCAUCUGAUACUGGAUAACUAGAGUAGGUGAGAGGGGAGUAGAAUUCCAGGUGUAGCGGUGAAAUGCGUAGAGAUCUGGAGGAAUACCGAUGGCGAAGGCAGCUCCCUGGCAUCAUACUGACACUGAGGUGCGAAAGCGUGGGUAGCAAACAGGAUUAGAUACCCUGGUAGUCCACGCCGUAAACGAUGUCUACCAGUCGUUGGGUCUUUUAAAGACUUAGUGACGCAGUUAACGCAAUAAGUAGACC
This 818-nucleotide ribosomal RNA is filed under the name uncultured Moraxella sp. Its description in RNAcentral is "bacterial SSU rRNA". It matches the Rfam family "Bacterial small subunit ribosomal RNA", at positions 52 to 870 of the family's 1533-position model. Lineage: Bacteria; Pseudomonadati; Pseudomonadota; Gammaproteobacteria; Moraxellales; Moraxellaceae. The record is from RNAcentral.